UAACUCUGGAGAGCUGUAAUUUGAAAGGGGGGCCUUUGAAGCAUUUACCUUACAUGGGACGCUAUUGUCACUGCAGGGUGUUUGAUCUUAAAAUAAUUUACUUAAUGAUCUCACCAUGGGAGCAAUUGGCAGAGCAAGAUUAGGCUGUAAGGCCUAAUGGACAUGGGAAAAGUUAAAAUUGCUCGGAGAAAGUUUGCUUACAGCCAAGCCCCUUGGGACUUCCCUGGUGGCUCAGACAGUAAAGCGUCUGCUUACGAUGCGGGAGACCCAGGUUCAACCCUGGGUUGGGAAGAUCUCCUGGAGAAGGAAAUGGCCACCCACUCCAGUAUUCUUGCCUGGAAAAUCCCAUGGACGGUGGAACCUGGUAGGCUACAGUCCAUGGAGUCCCAAAGAGUUGGACACAACUGAGCAACUUCACUUUCACUUUAAGCCCCUUGUAAAAAGGUAAAAGCUAUGAAUUCACAAGCUCACUCUUAGAACCUUCCAAUCUACCAGUGACCUGGAUGUCAAGAAGCACUUGACCUUCACAGGCAGCAGGUGCUGAGCCAUCUCCUGAGCCCACACAGCAAGGAGGCAACUGCCCUGCCAGUCCCAGCGUUCAUGCUACAGGAGGAGUCACAAGAGAGGGAUGAAAAAGAGCAAAGUCAAGGUCAAGCCACUUACCUACCUCUCCCCGCCAGCUCCCUCCCUCCUUGCACUGAUUACUGUCCUGUGUUUCAGAGGUAUUCCUGCUGGCCUAGAACCAUCAUCUCAUCCAGAAGACACAUAAAUUCCACCCAGAGUGAAGUCUGCUCAGAUCCAUCUGUCUCCUUACUAUUUCAACCAAUGUAUUCCCUCUUACAAAAAAAAGUGCACUCAGGUUGGAAAAGUGUGGAAAGAGCAGGUGAACUCACUGUCAGUGGCCAUAUUAUCCCUCACUGUUCAUUGUCUUCAUCACUAAGACCCACCAGGCAAAUCUUUUUGUGUAUUAAGGAAGGAAAUCGGAAGCUGUCUCCAUUGUCUUCUAAACACCAUAAUUAG
RNAcentral lists this long non-coding RNA (1020 nucleotides) under Capra hircus (goat). RNAcentral's name for it is "lncRNA (ENSCHIG00000007491.1)". The stretch from base 221 to 291 matches the Rfam family "tRNA". Lineage: Eukaryota; Metazoa; Chordata; Mammalia; Artiodactyla; Bovidae. The record is from RNAcentral.